CGGACGGGUGAGUAACGCGUGGGUAACCUGCCUUGUACUGGGGGACAACAGUUAGAAAUGACUGCUAAUACCGCAUAAGCGCACAGUAUCGCAUGAUACAGUGUGAAAAACUCCGGUGGUACAAGAUGGGCCCGCGUCUGAUUAGCUAGUUGGUAAGGUAAGGGCUUACCAAGGCGACGAUCAGUAGCCGACCUGAGAGGGUGACCGGCCACAUUGGGACUGAGACACGGCCCAA
RNAcentral lists this ribosomal RNA (235 nucleotides) under uncultured bacterium. Its description in RNAcentral is "partial 16S ribosomal RNA". It matches the Rfam family "Bacterial small subunit ribosomal RNA", at positions 99 to 334 of the family's 1533-position model. The record is from RNAcentral.